Molecule: ribosomal RNA, 492 nt
Filed under: uncultured bacterium
Lineage: Bacteria
Description: partial 16S ribosomal RNA
Rfam family: Bacterial small subunit ribosomal RNA
Source: RNAcentral
AGUGAACGCUGGCGGUAGGCCUAACACAUGCAAGUCGAACGGCAGCACAGUAAGAGCUUGCUCUUACGGGUGGCGAGUGGCGGACGGGUGAGGAAUACAUCGGAAUCUACUUUUUCGUGGGGGAUAACGUAGGGAAACUUACGCUAAUACCGCAUACGACCUACGGGUGAAGGCAGGGGAUCUUCGGACCUUGCGCGAUUGAAUGAGCCGAUGUCGGAUUAGCUAGUUGGCGGGGUAAAGGCCCACCAAGGCGACGAUCCGUAGCUGGUCUGAGAGGAUGAUCAGCCACACUGGAACUGAGACACGGUCCAGACUCCUACGGGAGGCAGCAGUGGGGAAUAUUGGACAAUGGGCGCAAGCCUGAUCCAGCCAUACCGCGUGGGUGAAGAAGACCUUCGGGUUGUAAAGCCCUUUUGUUGGGAAAGAAAAGCAGCAGGUUAAUACCCCGCUGUUCUGACGGUACCCAAAGAAUAAGCACCGGCUAACUUCGUG